Molecule: transfer RNA, 59 nt
Filed under: Hylastes brunneus
Lineage: Eukaryota; Metazoa; Arthropoda; Insecta; Coleoptera; Curculionidae
Description: tRNA-Ile
Source: RNAcentral
UGUAGAAUGUUUAAAAAAAAAUCCCUUUUGAUACAGAGAUUUUUUUCUAUUUUCGACAA